This 497-nucleotide ribosomal RNA is filed under the name uncultured bacterium. RNAcentral describes it as "partial 16S ribosomal RNA". It matches the Rfam family "Bacterial small subunit ribosomal RNA", at positions 28 to 507 of the family's 1533-position model. The record is from RNAcentral.
GAUGAACGCUGGCGGCGUGCCUAAUACAUGCAAGUCGAGCGAACAGACGAGGAGCUGUCUCCUCUGACUUUAUCGGCGGACGGGUGAUUAACACGUGGAUAACCUACCUAUAAGACUGGGAUAACUUCGGGAAACCGGAUCUAAUACCGGAUAAUAUAUUGAACCGCAUGGUUCAAUAGUUAAAUACGGUUUUGCUUUCACUUAUAGAUUGAUCAGCGCCGCAUUAGCUAGUUGGUAAGGUAACGGCUUAGCAAGGCAACGAUGCGUAGCCGACCUGAGCGGGUGAUCGGAUACCCUGGAACUGAGACACGGCCGAGACUCCUACGGGAGGACGCAGUCGGGAAUCCUACGGAAUGGGGGAAAGCCUGACGGAGCACCGCCGCGUGAGUGCUGAAGGUCUUAGGCUCGUAAAACUCUGUUAUUCGGGAAGAACAAAUGCGUAAGUAACCAUGAACGUAUUGACGGUACCUGAUCAGAAAGCUACGGCUAACUCCGUG